This 325-nucleotide long non-coding RNA is filed under the name Urocitellus parryii (Arctic ground squirrel). RNAcentral's name for it is "lncRNA (ENSUPAG00010006149.1)". Lineage: Eukaryota; Metazoa; Chordata; Mammalia; Rodentia; Sciuridae. The record is from RNAcentral.
GAAUUACAUCUCACUGUUUUUGAAAGAAAACCUGUUAACAUAUGUGUGAUCUGUUUCUUGUAGGCAACUACUGUCCUGAGUUCUGCAUACUUCUGGUUGGGAUUAAUUCUGGUUCCUACUGCAUGUUUGCUCGAAGAUGUGGCGUGGAGAGCGGCCAAGCAUACCUACAAAAAGACGUUGCUGGAGGAGGUACAGGAGCUGGAAACCAAGACCAGAGUGAUGGGGAAAGCCAUGCUGCGGGACAGUAAUGGAAAGAGAAUGAACGAGCGUGACCGCCUGAUAAAGAGGCUCGGCAGGAAGACACCCCCGACCCUCUUCCUUGGUG